This is a non-coding RNA of Prunus avium (sweet cherry), 380 nucleotides long. The record is from RefSeq and is a predicted model, not a curated record. Lineage: Eukaryota; Viridiplantae; Streptophyta; Magnoliopsida; Rosales; Rosaceae.
UGCUAAGUAUACAUAUCAGUUGCUGUUUCUUUUUUAAUUCCACCAAAUAAUCAUACUUAGUAAUAUAGGACUUUAUUAGAUUAUCAAUUCAACUCAUGCAACUUUCCAAUGAGAUUACAUGGUUGUUUGAGUGUGGUUUCUGUCUUGAGUUCAUCCAACUAGAGCAAAGCUUGGUAAACCUUGUGAUAUGAGAUUUGCUGCUCAAAUUUUUGGCAACUUGAUAAUGGAUGACAUAAUGGAGCCAAUUGUGUAUUUGUUUUGUGUAAUUUAAUUUGCUGCUCAACUUUGUGUAAUUUAAUUUGCUGCAACUUUGCCAACUUUGUGUAAUUUGCUGCUGAACUUUGCUGUAGUUUAAUUUGGCAGACUUGAUUACUGCUGAA